This 246-nucleotide ribosomal RNA is filed under the name uncultured bacterium. RNAcentral describes it as "partial 16S ribosomal RNA". It matches the Rfam family "Bacterial small subunit ribosomal RNA", at positions 29 to 263 of the family's 1533-position model. The record is from RNAcentral.
AAUGAACGCUGGCGGCGCGCCUAAUACAUGCAAGUCGAGCGAGAAGACGUAGCAAUACGUUUGUAAAGACGGCGAACGGGUGAGGAAGUACAUGGGUAACCUACCCUCGAGUGGGGAAGUAACUAGCCGAAAGGUUAGCUAAUACCGCGUACGCUUCCUGGACUUCGGUUCAGGGAGGAAAGCGAUGCCGAGGUAUCGCGCUCUUGGAUGGGCUCAUGUCCUAUCAGCUUGUUGGNGAGGUAACGG